This 773-nucleotide ribosomal RNA is filed under the name uncultured bacterium. RNAcentral describes it as "bacterial SSU rRNA". It matches the Rfam family "Bacterial small subunit ribosomal RNA", at positions 8 to 796 of the family's 1533-position model. The record is from RNAcentral.
AGAGUUUGAUCAUGGCUCAGGACGAACGCUGGCGGCGUGCUUAACACAUGCAAGUCACGGGGGCUCGCAAGAGCAACCGGCGAACGGGUGCGUAACACGUGAGCAAUCUGCCGAUUUCUGGGGGAUAGCCGGCCCAACGGCCGGGUAAUACCGCAUACGCUGAUGGGGUGGAGUCACUUUAUCAGGAAACCUCCGGGGGAAAUCGAGGAGCUCGCGGCCUAUCAGCUAGUUGGCGGGGUCAAGGCCCACCAAGGCGACGACGGGUAGCUGGUCUGAGAGGAUGGCCAGCCACAUUGGGACUGAGAGACGGCCCAGACUCCUACGGGAGGCAGCAGUGGGGAAUCUUGCGCAAUGGCCGAAAGGCUGACGCAGCGACGCCGCGUGUGGGAUGACGCCUUUCGGGGUGUAAACCACUGUUGCCCGGGACGAACAGCUUCUUUCGAGGAGCCUGACGGUACCGGGUGAGGAAGCACCGGCUAACUCCGUGCCAGCAGCCGCGGUAAUACGGAGGGUGCGAGCGUUGUCCGGAAUCACUGGGCGUAAAGGGCGCGUAGGCGGCCUGGCAAGUCGAUGGUGAAAGCCCGAGGCUCAACUUCGGGUCGGCCACUGAUACUGCUAGGCUUGAGUCGACUAGAGGCAGAUGGAAUUCCGGGUGUAGCGGUGGAAUGCAGAGAUCCGGAAGAACACCGGUGGCGAAGGCGGUCUGCUGGGGUCGAACUGACGCUGAGGCGCGACAGCGUGGGGAGAAACAGGAUUAGAUACCCNNGUAGUCC